UACGUAGGGGGCAAGCGUUGUCCGGAAUCAUUGGGCGUAAAGAGCGUGUAGGCGGCCAGAAAAGUCCGCUGUGAAAACUCGAGGCUCAACUUCGAGCUGUCGGUGGAAACUUUCUGGCUAGAGUCCGGAAGAGGAGAAUGGAAUUCCUGGUGUAGCGGUGAAAUGCGCAGAUAUCAGGAAGAACACCCCGUGGCGAAGGCGGUUCUCUGGGACGGUACUGACGCUGAGACGCGAAAGCGUGGGGAGCGAACAGG
Molecule: ribosomal RNA, 254 nt
Filed under: uncultured bacterium
Lineage: Bacteria
Description: partial 16S ribosomal RNA
Rfam family: Bacterial small subunit ribosomal RNA
Source: RNAcentral